GGUUAUGGCUCAGCGGUAGAUCAUUCGCCUAGCACAUGCGAGGUCCUGUGUUCAAUCCUCAGCACCA
RNAcentral lists this transfer RNA (67 nucleotides) under Marmota monax (woodchuck). RNAcentral's name for it is "tRNA.Ala". Lineage: Eukaryota; Metazoa; Chordata; Mammalia; Rodentia; Sciuridae. The record is from RNAcentral.